UCUGCAGAUGAGUCCACACACAGGGGGCUGCUCCCAGAUUUGGGCAUUGCUCAGCCUGGCCGGGAACCAAAGGUUCCCCCUUUGCUGGGGCGGAUGCAGCUGAUCCUUCAGUCGGCUGCCAGGCUGCUUUUGGCAGGGCUGGGGGCAUGGGCUGGGGUGGGUACGAAAUGGGAGUGGGCUCCUGGCCCUGCCAACAGCCCCCAGCACCCACCGUGCCCCGGGCUGGGGCUGGGGCUGGGGCAGCCAGCCCGACACAAACAAACCCCCAUGGUGGGAGCAGAGGUGGGACUCCAGAACCUGUGCAGGGGCUGCUUUGCUUUGCAGGCAAGGAAGGGCUUGGGCUGCUCCACUGCCCUUGUUUGCUUUGGGAUCAGCGUUACUUUGGGGGGCAUUGCAGGGGGGAAGGGAGAAAGCCUGGGCUUCCCUCACCUGUGGGUGGGUUUUUCCCUGGCAUGCAGGGGUUGGGCCUUCCUCAAGCCCCUGACAGAGAGAAGAUUUUUGACCUUUUUUCUUGUUUCCCCUUUUUGUCUGUAAUCUAUUUUCAAUCAUUGUUGUUUCUUUUUCUAGAGGAAGCGUUCUAGGUGGGGUCCAGUCUGGAUGGGGAAGUGCUUGGGAGCAGCUGCGGCGUGGAUGGGCCGUGCCCUUGGAGAAGGCUGAGGACAUCGUUUGGGACCAGCUUUUCUUCCAGCGGUGGAUGGCGUCAGCCGGGCUCUGCAGGUGCUGAGGCUGCUCUGGGCUCUGCCAGGGCUCUGCUGGAGCUCAGCACCGCGCCAGAAUCAGCCAAAGAAGAAAUGGUGUGCCCUGCAGCACAGACUUGCUUGAGCAUUUCAGCAACACAGCUCAAGUUUGCAGAGUGUACACCUCCCAGGGAAAACAUGCCACCACCCAAAAAUUAAACUUGUUCAAUAGCUUCUGAAAUGAAA
This is a long non-coding RNA of Vidua macroura (Pin-tailed whydah), 923 nucleotides long. RefSeq lists it as uncharacterized. The record is from RefSeq and is a predicted model, not a curated record. The transcript is spliced from 2 exons. NCBI's taxonomy places the organism in Eukaryota, Metazoa, Chordata, Aves, Passeriformes, Viduidae.